Molecule: long non-coding RNA, 280 nt
Organism: Mytilus californianus (California mussel)
Lineage: Eukaryota; Metazoa; Mollusca; Bivalvia; Mytilida; Mytilidae
Exons: 3
Source: RefSeq, a predicted model, not a curated record
UAUUACUUGUUGUUGCUGGGUAAAAUCUGACAGCGGCAGACGGUAGGACAUAUAGAGGAAAUAUAAAAAAAAAAUGGUUAAAAUGCCUUUUCCUGUUCUUUAAAAAAAUAUUGUCAUAGAAAUGUCAAGUGGAUGUAUUUUAGUGACAGGAGGAGCCGGCUUUGUUGGUACCCAUUCUGUGAUAGAACUGGUAAAUGCUGGAUAUUCUGUUGUUGUUGUGGACAACUUUAUCAACGCUAAUCCCGAAAGUGUUAAACGAGUGGAAGAGAUAUGUGGAACA